UACAGAGGUCCCAAGCGUUGUUCGGAUUCACUGGGCGUAAAGGGUGCGUAGGCGGCGCGGUAAGUCGGAUGUGAAAUCUCGGAGCUUAACUCCGAAACUGCAUUCGAUACUGCCGUGCUUGAGGACUGGAGAGGAGACUGGAAUUUACGGUGUAGCGGUGAAAUGCGUAGAUAUCGUAAGGAAGACCAGUGGCGAAGGCGGGUCUCUGGACAGUUCCUGACGCUGAGGCACGAAGGCCAGGGGAGCAAACGGG
Molecule: ribosomal RNA, 253 nt
Filed under: uncultured bacterium
Lineage: Bacteria
Description: partial 16S ribosomal RNA
Rfam family: Bacterial small subunit ribosomal RNA
Source: RNAcentral